RNAcentral lists this ribosomal RNA (871 nucleotides) under Staphylococcus aureus. RNAcentral describes it as "partial 23S ribosomal RNA". It matches the Rfam family "Bacterial large subunit ribosomal RNA", at positions 388 to 1266 of the family's 2925-position model. The record is from RNAcentral. Lineage: Bacteria; Bacillati; Bacillota; Bacilli; Caryophanales; Staphylococcaceae.
UUGUCUCUCUUGAGUGGAUCCUGAGUACGACGGAGCACGUGAAAUUCCGUCGGAAUCUGGGAGGACCAUCUCCUAAGGCUAAAUACUCUCUAGUGACCGAUAGUGAACCAGUACCGUGAGGGAAAGGUGAAAAGCACCCCGGAAGGGGAGUGAAAUAGAACCUGAAACCGUGUGCUUACAAGUAGUCAGAGCCCGUUAAUGGGUGAUGGCGUGCCUUUUGUAGAAUGAACCGGCGAGUUACGAUUUGAUGCAAGGUUAAGCAGUAAAUGUGGAGCCGUAGCGAAAGCGAGUCUGAAUAGGGCGUUUAGUAUUUGGUCGUAGACCCGAAACCAGGUGAUCUACCCUUGGUCAGGUUGAAGUUCAGGUAACACUGAAUGGAGGACCGAACCGACUUACGUUGAAAAGUGAGCGGAUGAACUGAGGGUAGCGGAGAAAUUCCAAUCGAACCUGGAGAUAGCUGGUUCUCUCCGAAAUAGCUUUAGGGCUAGCCUCAAGUGAUGAUUAUUGGAGGUAGAGCACUGUUUGGACGAGGGGCCCCUCUCGGGUUACCGAAUUCAGACAAACUCCGAAUGCCAAUUAAUUUAACUUGGGAGUCAGAACAUGGGUGAUAAGGUCCGUGUUCGAAAGGGAAACAGCCCAGACCACCAGCUAAGGUCCCAAAAUAUAUGUUAAGUGGAAAAGGAUGUGGCGUUGCCCAGACAACUAGGAUGUUGGCUUAGAAGCAGCCAUCAUUUAAAGAGUGCGUAAUAGCUCACUAGUCGAGUGACACUGCGCCGAAAAUGUACCGGGGCUAAACAUGUUACCGAAGCUGUGGAUUGUCCUUUGGACAAUGGUAGGAGAGCGUUCUAAGGGCGUUGAAGCAUGAUCGUAA